RNAcentral lists this long non-coding RNA (1036 nucleotides) under Homo sapiens (human). RNAcentral's name for it is "HSALNT0386635". The record is from RNAcentral. Lineage: Eukaryota; Metazoa; Chordata; Mammalia; Primates; Hominidae.
GGAGUCCUGGUCCGGGAGCGCCGCCAGCGUCUGGAGGGCGGGGAUAAGAAGGCAAGGCUGAGGAUGGACACCAGAUUGGCCCAGGGAGGAGCACCUGCCACACAGAAAGUGGAGCAGUCAUGGGGGAACAGGUAGGAGAGAGGGCUCUGAGCGGUGGGGGGAGAAAGGGACAGUCUCUGACCGGUGGUGCUGGCCACAGAGUUCACUGCACGGAUGAACAGCGGUGCGUUGUUUUCGGAGUAUUCUACAAACACCAACAGCAGCUUCAGGGCUGUCUUCACCACCAAGCGGGACUGAGGAGAGAGGUCAGUACAUAUGAGUGGGGCUUAGGCCAGACCUGUGCCAGCUGUUGCUGGGGAAGGGGAAGGGCUGCUGGGGCUGGACCCAGAGAGAAUCUAGGCAGAAUGACCCUGGCCCCAGGCCCAGGCACUGAAGUGCCUUAUAGGCUUACAGAGGCCUCAGACUCACUCCCUUCCAGCUCACUUUGCAGAACAGGAAACUGAGGCCCAGAGAGAAGCAACAGGCAAAGGGUAUAAGGCUGAGUGGAGAGCCACUUACCAGGCUGGCACACAAUGUGUACAGCCACUGAAUAGUGUCACUGUGGGCCACCACCCCCAGCAUUCCAUCCACAAAGAGCAUCAGCUGGCCGAGCGCUGGGGAAACAGGGAUGGGCAGAGUCAGCGAGGGUCGCUGGAGCAGAGGUCAUGGGAGAGGGGCGGGGCUGACCUCUAAGGAUGUAGCUCUGGUAGUUGUGGUCGGCAGCAGCACCCACACGGAUCAGGCAGCUCAGCCCCUCUGAAUGCACAAAUUCAGGCACCAGGUCUUUGUCCUCCUAGAGGCACCAUGGGGGAGUUUAGGGAAGCUUGGGCUACACACUUACCCCCAGCCCACUGCGGGGCCUCACCUGGAAGAUCUGCUUCAGUGAGAAGAGGGAGCGGCGGAGCUCAGGACCACUGGAGCUAUACAGCUUUUCUGCAAAAGAAGCCCUCCAGCAUCUCCCGCUGCUCUUCCAGGGACAGCUCGGUGUCCAGGUAGU